This 855-nucleotide long non-coding RNA is filed under the name Equus caballus (horse). RNAcentral's name for it is "lncRNA (ENSECAG00000046193.1)". Lineage: Eukaryota; Metazoa; Chordata; Mammalia; Perissodactyla; Equidae. The record is from RNAcentral.
UGCCCAGCCAGCCUUGGAAUUCAGGAGAAAUCCUGCCCGAAAGCCAUUAUCUAGGGAAAUUGAGGCUUACUUUACAAGCAGAAGGGCUCUAUGGGGUCUGCCAGAAAAAUUUCCCUUUGACCCAGAAUUCAAAGUCUCACUGGUACUACACGUAACAUUGGAUGAUGAAGUUAGGAGAAGGGCUCCUAUGCCACAGGCAGAAAUCAGUCUAGUUUCACUGCUCUUGUCAGUCCUUGGGGUCUAAAGUGAGUCAUUGCUUAAGAACUGAGAAACGAGAGAAAUAAGGACUCCUUCUGAGCGUUAAGCUUCAAUAUGGAUACAUAAUAGAUCAGAGCAGAACACUGCAAAGUCACCUGAAAGAGACGGGCAGACACUAAACUAAGAACUUGAUGUGUAGAACCUUGUCUACUUCUCACCACAAUCCUAGGAGGCAACUUCUGUUCUUGGCCCCGCCUCCCCAGACGAGAAGACUGAAGCUAGGUCAUUGUAUUUUUCUGGUCCCUGAGGGAGACAGUACAGGGCGAUAAUUAUGUCUGUGAACACUGGAGUCAGACUGUCUGGUUUCAAAUCCUGGUUCUCAUUUUGUGAACUUGGCCACAUUGCUUAUCUUCUCUCUGCCUCAGUUUCCUCAGAUGGAAUGUGAAGGUGAUAAUCGUGCCUCUCUCCUAGCGCUGUUGUAAGGGCAAAAUGAGGCACGGUCUUAAAGAAAGCUCAUCUCACCCACGUUUACCUUCUCCCAGGUUCUGACCUGGACUGGAAAUGUUUGCCUCGCAGGUAAACAAAGCAGAAGCGUUCAGUGGCUAACGGUCUUGGAGACCGCGAUUUCAGGAUUGCAAACGUGGCUGGCCUUUACUG